Molecule: non-coding RNA, 20 nt
Filed under: Arabidopsis thaliana (thale cress)
Lineage: Eukaryota; Viridiplantae; Streptophyta; Magnoliopsida; Brassicales; Brassicaceae
Source: RNAcentral
GUCAGGUUGGCCGAGUGGUC